CUACGGGUCGCAGCAGGCGAGAAAACUUUGCAAUGUGCGAAAGCACGACAAGGUUAAUCCGAGUGGUUUGUGCUAAACGAACCUCUUGACAGUCCUAGAAACACUGUUGAAUAAGGGGUGGGCAAGUUCUGGUGUCAGCCGCCGCGGUAAAACCAGCACCUCAAGUGGUCAGGAUGAUUAUUGGGCCUAAAGCAUCCGUAGCCGGCUCUGUAAGUUUUCGGUUAAAUCUGUACGCUCAACGUACAGGCUGCCGGGAAUACUGCAGAGCUAGGGAGUGGGAGAGGUAGACGGUACUCGGUAGGAAGGGGUAAAAUCCUUUGAUCUAUUGAUGACCACCUGUGGCGAAGGCGGUCUACCAGAACACGUCCGACGGUGAGGGAUGAAAGCUGGGGGAGCAAACCGGAUUAGAUACCCGAGUAGUC
RNAcentral lists this ribosomal RNA (422 nucleotides) under uncultured archaeon. RNAcentral's name for it is "partial 16S ribosomal RNA". It matches the Rfam family "Archaeal small subunit ribosomal RNA", at positions 323 to 746 of the family's 1478-position model. The record is from RNAcentral.